GUCAGGAUGGCUGAGUGGUGUAAGGCGCUGUGUUCAGGUCGCAGUUUCCCCUGGAGGCUUGGUGUCAAAUCCCCCUUCUGACA
This is a non-coding RNA of Danio rerio (zebrafish), 83 nucleotides long. NCBI's taxonomy places the organism in Eukaryota, Metazoa, Chordata, Actinopteri, Cypriniformes, Danionidae. The record is from Rfam.